UUAAGCGACUAAGCGUACACGGUGGAUGCCCUGGCAGUCAGAGGCGAUGAAGGACGUGCUAAUCUGCGAUAAGCGUCGGUAAGGUGAUAUGAACCGUUAUAACCGGCGAUUUCCGAAUGGGGAAACCCAGUGUGUUUCGACACACUAUCAUUAACUGAAUCCAUAGGUUAAUGAGGCGAACCGGGGGAACUGAAACAUCUAAGUACCCCGAGGAAAAGAAAUCAACCGAGAUUCCCCCAGUAGCGGCGAGCGAACGGGGAGCAGCCCAGAGCCUGAAUCAGUAUGUGUGUUAGUGGAAGCGUCUGGAAAGGCGCGCGAUACAGGGUGACAGCCCCGUACACAAAAAUGCACAUGCUGUGAGCUCGAUGAGUAGGGCGGGACACGUGGUAUCCUGUCUGAAUAUGGGGGGACCAUCCUCCAAGGCUAAAUACUCCUGACUGACCGAUAGUGAACCAGUACCGUGAGGGAAAGGCGAAAAGAACCCCGGCGAGGGGAGUGAAAAAGAACCUGAAACCGUGUACGUACAAGCAGUGGGAGCACGCUUAGGCGUGUGACUGCGUACCUUUUGUAUAAUGGGUCAGCGACUUAUAUUCUGUAGCAAGGUUAACCGAAUAGGGGAGCCGAAGGGAAACCGAGUCUUAACUGGGCGUUAAGUUGCAGGGUAUAGACCCGAAACCCGGUGAUCUAGCCAUGGGCAGGUUGAAGGUUGGGUAACACUAACUGGAGGACCGAACCGACUAAUGUUGAAAAAUUAGCGGAUGACUUGUGGCUGGGGGUGAAAGGCCAAUCAAACCGGGAGAUAGCUGGUUCUCCCCGAAAGCUAUUUAGGUAGCGCCUCGUGAAUUCAUCUCCGGGGGUAGAGCACUGUUUCGGCAAGGGGGUCAUCCCGACUUACCAACCCGAUGCAAACUGCGAAUACCGGAGAAUGUUAUCACGGGAGACACACGGCGGGUGCUAACGUCCGUCGUGAAGAGGGAAACAACCCAGACCGCCAGCUAAGGUCCCAAAGUCAUGGUUAAGUGGGAAACGAUGUGGGAAGGCCCAGACAGCCAGGAUGUUGGCUUAGAAGCAGCCAUCAUUUAAAGAAAGCGUAAUAGCUCACUGGUCGAGUCGGCCUGCGCGGAAGAUGUAACGGGGCUAAACCAUGCACCGAAGCUGCGGCAGCGACGCUUAUGCGUUGUUGGGUAGGGGAGCGUUCUGUAAGCCUGUGAAGGUGUGCUGUGAGGCAUGCUGGAGGUAUCAGAAGUGCGAAUGCUGACAUAAGUAACGAUAAAGCGGGUGAAAAGCCCGCUCGCCGGAAGACCAAGGGUUCCUGUCCAACGUUAAUCGGGGCAGGGUGAGUCGACCCCUAAGGCGAGGCCGAAAGGCGUAGUCGAUGGGAAACAGGUUAAUAUUCCUGUACUUGGUGUUACUGCGAAGGGGGGACGGAGAAGGCUAUGUUGGCCGGGCGACGGUUGUCCCGGUUUAAGCGUGUAGGCUGGUUUUCCAGGCAAAUCCGGAAAAUCAAGGCUGAGGCGUGAUGACGAGGCACUACGGUGCUGAAGCAACAAAUGCCCUGCUUCCAGGAAAAGCCUCUAAGCAUCAGGUAACAUCAAAUCGUACCCCAAACCGACACAGGUGGUCAGGUAGAGAAUACCAAGGCGCUUGAGAGAACUCGGGUGAAGGAACUAGGCAAAAUGGUGCCGUAACUUCGGGAGAAGGCACGCUGAUAUGUAGGUGAAGUCCCUCGCGGAUGGAGCUGAAAUCAGUCGAAGAUACCAGCUGGCUGCAACUGUUUAUUAAAAACACAGCACUGUGCAAACACGAAAGUGGACGUAUACGGUGUGACGCCUGCCCGGUGCCGGAAGGUUAAUUGAUGGGGUCAGCGCAAGCGAAGCUCUUGAUCGAAGCCCCGGUAAACGGCGGCCGUAACUAUAACGGUCCUAAGGUAGCGAAAUUCCUUGUCGGGUAAGUUCCGACCUGCACGAAUGGCGUAAUGAUGGCCAGGCUGUCUCCACCCGAGACUCAGUGAAAUUGAACUCGCUGUGAAGAUGCAGUGUACCCGCGGCAAGACGGAAAGACCCCGUGAACCUUUACUAUAGCUUGACACUGAACAUUGAGCCUUGAUGUGUAGGAUAGGUGGGAGGCUUUGAAGUGUGGACGCCAGUCUGCAUGGAGCCGACCUUGAAAUACCACCCUUUAAUGUUUGAUGUUCUAACGUUGACCCGUGAUCCGGGUUGCGGACAGUGUCUGGUGGGUAGUUUGACUGGGGCGGUCUCCUCCUAAAGAGUAACGGAGGAGCACGAAGGUUGGCUAAUCCUGGUCGGACAUCAGGAGGUUAGUGCAAUGGCAUAAGCCAGCUUGACUGCGAGCGUGACGGCGCGAGCAGGUGCGAAAGCAGGUCAUAGUGAUCCGGUGGUUCUGAAUGGAAGGGCCAUCGCUCAACGGAUAAAAGGUACUCCGGGGAUAACAGGCUGAUACCGCCCAAGAGUUCAUAUCGACGGCGGUGUUUGGCACCUCGAUGUCGGCUCAUCACAUCCUGGGGCUGAAGUAGGUCCCAAGGGUAUGGCUGUUCGCCAUUUAAAGUGGUACGCGAGCUGGGUUUAGAACGUCGUGAGACAGUUCGGUCCCUAUCUGCCGUGGGCGCUGGAGAACUGAGGGGGGCUGCUCCUAGUACGAGAGGACCGGAGUGGACGCAUCACUGGUGUUCGGGUUGUCAUGCCAAUGGCACUGCCCGGUAGCUAAAUGCGGAAGAGAUAAGUGCUGAAAGCAUCUAAGCACGAAACUUGCCCCGAGAUGAGUUCUCCCUGACUCCUUGAGAGUCCUGAAGGAACGUUGAAGACGACGACGUUGAUAGGCCGGAUGUGUAAGCGCAGCGAUGCGUUGAGCUAACCGGUACUAAUGAACCGUGAGGCUUAACCUU
Molecule: ribosomal RNA, 2902 nt
Filed under: Escherichia coli
Lineage: Bacteria; Pseudomonadati; Pseudomonadota; Gammaproteobacteria; Enterobacterales; Enterobacteriaceae
Description: bacterial LSU rRNA
Rfam family: Bacterial large subunit ribosomal RNA
Source: RNAcentral